RNAcentral lists this small nuclear RNA (97 nucleotides) under Hemiselmis andersenii. RNAcentral's name for it is "partial Dictyostelium signal recognition particle". Lineage: Eukaryota; Cryptophyceae; Cryptomonadales; Hemiselmidaceae. The record is from RNAcentral.
GCGCGACACUCUUGUGACUGUGGUGGCGGCUCCGCGGACUCCUUUGGGAUUGAGGGUAGGAUGUCAUCGCCAAAGCAUUGGGUGGUAAUAGAGCGAG